AUCCCCCAGAUCCUGACCCACCCAUUCUCUGUCUUCCCUCCCUCCCUCCCGAUGCGGCUGCUCUCUCUCCCUCGACGCGCCGCCAUCCGCACCUCCCAACGCGCCGCCGUCCUCCGCCUUCCCCCGCAUUCCGCUCAGCCACCGCCCUCUCCUCCUCCCCCCCACCCUCCUCCAUGGCGAAUCCACCUCCAGAUCGAGAAGGGGAGGCAGCGUACGUCGCAUCCACGCACCAGAUCAAGCAGUGGCGCUCCCAGAUCGAUCCAUCUCCGUCGUCCUCGUGGUUGACGCCCAUGUCCUCCUCAAGGACGGCCGUCUCCGUGCUCCACCACCACCCUUUCCCUCCUCCCUCACCGCAUCUCACAUGGCGCUGGGAUCUUCCAGAUCGAGCGCCGGCAGGGUAGGCGCCUCCGCCUCCCAAGUCCAAGACCCCGCCUCCGCCGCCGGCAGGGAUCUUCCAGACCAGCGCAAUGUCUUCCGCGUCGCUGACCAUGCUGGGGUCGCACUCGCCGGCCUCACCGCCAUCUUCCUCCACGAGCUGCAGCCCAUCCUCGCCAACCACCUGCAGACCCAGACCGCCAGCACCGGCAACGCAUGCGUCGUGGCCUGCGGCGCCGCUGCCGCCAAGGACCGCCUCUUCAAGGGAUUGCAGGAGCAGCCGGGCCUGGUCACCAUCGCCAUGGAGGAGAUCCUCCAGUUCACGGCGUCCGUCAGCGGCGCCGUCUGGGUGUCGUCGUACCAGGUUCAUGUCAAGUCAGUUGAGGAUUUCGCGCGGCUGGGCUGUUUCAAUGAGAACUAGGACAAGCAGCAGCCCACCAAAGCUUCUUCCACCCAACAGCAGCCCACUAAACUGACUAGUUUUUCAUGUCUUGUGUGAAAUCUGUACCCUACUAGAAGAUGCCACCAUCAAGUUAAUAAUAACACUAAACUGGUAUAUGUAAUUAUAACCAGAUAAUUUAUCGCAUCGUACUAUAAAAAUAUGUAAUCAGUAAGCCUAAAAGCCGCUAAACUGGUAUAUUCAUUAUUUGAGUUCAUUGGAAUAUAAUAAGAAACAAAGAUGAAUCUAUUUCUGCUAUGUGCUUCCUUUGUGCAUAGAUGUAUCUUCAUGAGUCGCAAAACUAUUGACAUGCUUAUUCUAUAGUUGAUUUUCCUAGGUUGUAGUUUGUUCCAUAUCGUGUUAGGUUGUAUUGUAUAAUCUGCAUUAUAAGUGUAGUUUCUAAUGUGCUUAUGCUAGAUUAAUGCAUCAACCUGACAUGUUACAAACCUUGAGCCAGAACCUAUGACAUCUCAUUUUAAAUGGUAAUCAUUGUUGUUAAAAUGCUACUGUUUGAUUUCAUACAAGUGUGUGCCCCCAACUAUUGUAUAGUUGUAUCCAUACUUCUGAGCAUAUUAUUGUCUAGCCUCUUUUGUGAUUAGUCCUCAUUUUUAAUGAUGUUACCGUUUAUCUAAGAUCAUUUGAAGUUUUGAGCUGGCGCCUAGCUAGCCUCUUUUGUGAUUAGUCCUCAUUUUGAAUGUCAUCCACACUAUUUUUUUGUUAAUUUUGUUCCUUGUAUGAACAACCUUAUAAUUUUGGUGGAUGCACGUGUGGGUGGCAGGAGGGCUAGUUCAUGUAGCUUACUUCCUGUUUGUCAUUUUGGUGGCUUGCCAUUUUAUUUACAGCAUUGUGGAUGAUGCCAUUAUCCUAGUUUUCACAUUUAUAUUAGUCACUUAAACAAGGCUGGGUUAAGUUGAGUUGUUCUGCUGCUGAUGGCAAUACAAGCCAAUAGAUCUCACAUGCAAAAAUUCAACAGAUUUUGCUAGGUUAAUGUUGAGUUGGCGCUGCUGCCUGCAUAUGCAAAAAUUCAACAGAUUUACAGCAUUGUGGAUGAUGCCAUUAUCCUAGUAAUGAAACAGAUUUACAGCAUUGUGGAUGAUGCCAUUGGAUUGAUCAGUUGGCGUAUAUACAAGGAUGAAUACAGCCAUUUAGUCAAUUUCCAUGAUUGGUUUAUUUGUGAUUCGUUCUAUCUCUGAUGGUUACCUUCCUUGUGUCUGAACCUGUAUGAUAAGCUAAUAUAUUUUCCAGAAAUGACUUGGGAACUUGUUUGGUUCUGACUAGCCACCUAUUACACAGCUAGUUCCAUGAGUAUUUAGUCUUCUGUCCCCUUUUCGGGUACUGAUUUGCCACAUAAUGUUCAUGAUGCAUCAUAUCUCAUGUUGAAGUACUUUGCUGUGAUGCUUUGUUUUGGGGUCAGUCAGUAGUACUCUGAAUAAGAGCAUAAACAUAUAUGAUUGUGUUAUAUUAAUUGAUUGCAUGCCCUCUUGGAUUCUGUUUUUGCCUGCUGCAUGUGUGCUGAUAGUUUUUGCAUAGUGUUGGCCGCGGGGUCUGGCCAGCGAUGUCGGGUCGUUGGUCGGACAGGCGAUCAGAUUUAGUUUUGGUACAUUUCGUUGAUUGCUGGUACUGUGUUGACGCAACCUCGAAUGCCUUGCCCGUUACGCCGUUGCUCCUCUUUCUUAUCUGCUUCGAUUGCAGGUAUGCAGAGCCAGAUCGUGUGCCACCGUUGCUGAAGGGUGCUGGCCUACCCAUCAGGCGCCCAGCGUGUGCGGCGCCAUGUGCCGAGCCAUCACCGUCGUGCCACCCCCAGCGCCAGGAGCUCUAGUUCUACAAAAUUUGAAGUUCGAAACCAUAUAGCUCUACUCAGCAAAGAGUCGUCUCUUCUGUUCGAUGGUAAUAGAAUGUAAAUAUUGUAAUAUUGUAAUAGUAGGCAUACCUGGGUUGUAAUAACUAUAUACAGAUUGUAGUAGACUUAGUUUUAUUUGAUGAACUAUGUUUGUACUGUUC
Long non-coding RNA from Triticum urartu, 2815 nucleotides. RefSeq lists it as uncharacterized. NCBI's taxonomy places the organism in Eukaryota, Viridiplantae, Streptophyta, Magnoliopsida, Poales, Poaceae. The record is from RefSeq and is a predicted model, not a curated record.